GGCGAGCGAACCGGGAAGAGCCCAACUUGAAAAUCUCCCUUUGGAGAAUUGUAGUCUAUAGAAGUACCCUCUGCAGCGAGGGAAGCCCAAGUCUCCUGGAAAGGGGCGUCCGAGAGGGUGAGAACCCCGUAGGCUUCUCCUCAGCUUCUCCACGAGGUGCUUUCGCAGAGUCGGGUUGCUUGGGAAUGCAGCCCUAAUUUGGUGGUAAAUCCCAUCUAAGGCUAAAUAUUGGCGAGAGACCGAUAGCGAACAAGUACCGUGAGGGAAAGAUGAAAAGAACUUUGAAAAGAGAGUUAAAAAGUGCUUGAAAUUGUUGAGGGGGAAGCGAUUGGAGGCUCAAGUGCCCUCAGGCUUAUGCGUCCUUAACGGGCCGCUGUAUGUGCUGAGGGCUGGCCAGCAAGGGCUGGACCUGUGGGAUAACAGCCGGGGUUGCUACCCGGCCUAUACCACGGGACUGGCCAAGGCAAAAUACUGCCCUUGUCCUUUGGAACUGCAGUAUCAAGUUGCUGGCUUAAGGUUUCCAAUUGACCCGUCUUGAAACACGGACCAAGGAGUCUAACAUGUAUGCGAGUUGGUGGGUGAAAAACCCAUGAAGCGCAAGUAACCUGACUGGUGGGAUGGCCUGUGCCUGCACCAUCGACCGACCAUGAGCUUCUGCGAAAGGUUUGAGUCCGAGCAUACCUGUUGGGACCCGAAAGAUGGUGAACUAUGCCUGAGCAGGGCGAAGCCAGAGGAAACUCUGGUGGAGGCUCGUAGAUGUGCUGACGUGCAAAUCGCUUUUCGGACUUGGGUAUAGGGGCGAAAGACUAAUCGAACCAUCUAGUAGCUGGUUCCCUCCGAAGUUUCCCCCAGGAUAGCUGGAGCUUGUAUCAGUUCAGUCAGGUAAAGCGAAUGAUUAGAGGUUCGGGGGAUGAAACAUCCUUCACCUAUUCUCAAACUUUAAAUAGGCUGGGCGCCCAGGUUGCUUGAUUGAACCUGCGGCAAUCAAUGAGAGCUCCAAGUGGGCCAUUUUUGGUAAGCAGAACUGGCGAUGCGGGAUGAACCGAUAGUCGAGUUAAGGUGCCCAACUGCACGCUAACCUAGAUCCCACAAAGGGUGUUGAUUGAUAUAGACAGCAGGACGGUGGUCAUGGAAGUCGAAAUCCGCUAAGGAGUGUGUAACAACUCACCUGCCGAAUCAAUUAGCCCCGAAAAUGGAUGGCGCUGAAGCGUGCGACCUAUACUCGGCCAUGGAAGCAAGUGCGAGGCUUCCAUGAGUAGGAGGGCGUGGAGAUUGUUGCGCAGCCCGUGGCGUGAGCCGGGGUGGAACGGUCUCUAGUGCAGAUCUUGGUGGUAGUAGCAAAUACACAAAUGAGAACUUUGUGGACUGAAGUGGGGAAAGGUUCCAUGUGAACAGCAAUUGGACAUGGGUUAGUCGGUCCUAAGAGAUGGGGUAAUCCUGUAUCAAGAGCGCAAUCGCGCUGCCCAUCGAAAGGGAAAAGGGUUAAGAUUCCCUUACCUGGCUAGGGCGGCUGACGGUAACGUUAACGAGCCCGCAGACAUCGGCAUUGGCCCUGGGAAGAGUUCUCUUUUCUUUUUAACAGCUCGAAGGCCCUGGAAUCGAAUCAUUCGGAGAUAGGGCUCAGAAGCUGGUAAAGCACUGCACGUCUCGCAGUGUCCGGCGCGCCAAUGACGGUCCUUGAAAAUGCGGGGGAGCAACUACCGAUCCUACCAGGCCGUACUCAUAACCGCAUCAGGUCUCCAAGGUGAACAGCCUCUAGUCGAUAGAAUAAUGUAGAUAAGGGAAGUCGGCAAAAUGGAUCCGUAACUUCGGGAAAAGGAUUGGCUCUGAGGGCUGGGCCUAGGGAUCUGCGUCUUGAAACCCAGGACUGUCGAUGGGCUGCUGCGCGGCUCACGCUGCAACGCGGACCGUCGCGUGUCUCGGGCGGAGGGGCGCAGGAAGCUUCGGCGGGCUCUAGGCGACGAACAGCCAGCUCAGAACUGGUACGGACAAGGGGAAUCCGACUGUUUAAUUAAAACAAAGCAUUGUGAUGGUCUGUAAAGAUGUUGACACAAUGUGA
This 2059-nucleotide ribosomal RNA is filed under the name Schizochlamys gelatinosa. RNAcentral describes it as "eukaryotic LSU rRNA". It matches the Rfam family "Eukaryotic large subunit ribosomal RNA", at positions 88 to 2194 of the family's 3401-position model. Lineage: Eukaryota; Viridiplantae; Chlorophyta; Chlorophyceae; Sphaeropleales; Schizochlamydaceae. The record is from RNAcentral.